This 88-nucleotide transfer RNA is filed under the name Bacteroidales bacterium. RNAcentral's name for it is "tRNA-Ser". It matches the Rfam family "tRNA". From Rfam's summary of the family: Transfer RNA (tRNA) molecules are approximately 80 nucleotides in length. Their secondary structure includes four short double-helical elements and three loops (D, anti-codon, and T loops). Lineage: Bacteria; Pseudomonadati; Bacteroidota; Bacteroidia; Bacteroidales. The record is from RNAcentral. RNAcentral also lists the same sequence under 1 other name.
GGAAGUGUGGCUGAGCGGUUUAAGGCAGCGGUCUAGAAAACCGAUGGGUCGAAAGGCUCCGAGGGUUCGAAUCCUUCCACUUCCGCCA